Molecule: ribosomal RNA, 423 nt
Filed under: Triticum aestivum (bread wheat)
Lineage: Eukaryota; Viridiplantae; Streptophyta; Magnoliopsida; Poales; Poaceae
Description: partial small subunit ribosomal RNA
Source: RNAcentral
AUGGUGAUUGCUGUCAAGGGAAAGAAAGAUAUCACUACUUUAAAGGCACAUUUAAGUAGUGAGUUUGAGAUGAAGGAUCUUGGUGCUGCUAAGAAAAUUCUAGGUAUGGAGAUUACGAGGGUUAGAAAUUCUGGUUUGUUAUUUCUUAGUCAGCAGAGUUACAUUAAGAAAGUUCUUCAUCGUUUUAAUAUGCAUGAUGCUAAGUCAAUAGGCACUCUCAUUGCUCCUCAUUUCAAAUUAUCAUCUUCUCAUUGUCAUAGUAAUGAUGAAGAGUUUGAGUAUAUGUCAAGAAUUCCAUAUUCCAGUGCCGUUGGUUCUUUAAUGUAUGUCAUGGUCUGUUCUAGGCCUGAUUUGUCAUUUGCAAUGAGUUUGGUCAGUCGAUACAUGGCUAACCUUGGUAAAGAACAUUGGAAGGUUGUUUAG